This is a long non-coding RNA of Coregonus clupeaformis (lake whitefish), 537 nucleotides long. RefSeq lists it as uncharacterized. The record is from RefSeq and is a predicted model, not a curated record. NCBI's taxonomy places the organism in Eukaryota, Metazoa, Chordata, Actinopteri, Salmoniformes, Salmonidae. The transcript has 4 exons.
GGAGAUUACAGAUGUACAAUCAAGGAUAGAGAAAACAGGGACGAAUACAGGGACAUCAGACUCCAUGUUAAAGGCUGCACUUUGUCAGACUCUAACCAACUGGAGAUAGUUAGAUCCCGGGGCCAGUCUGUGCUCCUGCCCUGCUCCUGUACUGAACUCCAGGCUAAACCUCUCAGACUGACAUGGACUAAAUUCCUCGAUGGACAGACACACGCAAUACCAUUAAGAGACAGAGUGGAGAUGUUUAAUACUGAGAAAUCUCCAGGGAACCUCUCUGUCCUUCUCUCAUGCAUCACUAAGGAGGAUCAGGGGUGGUACAGGUGUGAAAUAAACAACCAAAACUUUAGAGACAUACGUAUCACUGUUAAAGAGACAGAUGGACCCCAAAAAACCACUACCACUAAACAACCAAAAGUAACUCAAACCAAAAGACCAGAGACUACAAAAGCACUACCAACAACUGCAUCUAAAGGAACAGACACAGUGGGGACCUCAGGAGAAGCUCCAUCUGCAUCCUCUCUGCCAAACAAUACCAUC